RNAcentral lists this long non-coding RNA (205 nucleotides) under Elaeis guineensis (African oil palm). RNAcentral describes it as "long non-coding RNA (EGUI_LNC036248)". The record is from RNAcentral. Lineage: Eukaryota; Viridiplantae; Streptophyta; Magnoliopsida; Arecales; Arecaceae.
UACGAGGGGCUUGAGCCAAAUGUGGAAUCUUACAAGAAGAUUGUGGUGGCUAUUCAAGAAUAAAAUGAUUCAAGAGUAUCAUAAGGAUUUUCAAGUUAGUGAGGGAUUGAAGGUUUGGCGAUCUCUAAGUUCCUUUUAAUAGGAUGGUGAAGGAAGGUUUUUGAGCAGCUAUAUGUUCUUUGGUGAAUUGGUGAAGAGAAGGGCU